GAUGAACGCUGGCGGCGUGCCUAAUACAUGCAAGUCGAGCGAACGGACGAGAAGUUUGCUUCUUUGAUGUUAGCGGCGGACGGGUGAGUAACACGUGGAUAACCUACCUAUAAGACGGGGAUAACUUCGAGAAACCGGAGCUAAUACCGGACAAUACUUUGAACCGCAUGGUUCAAAAGUGAAAGACGGUCUUGCUGUCACUUAUAGAUGGAUCCGCGCUGCAUUAGCUAGUUGGUAAGGUAACGGCCUACCAAGGCAACGAUGCAUAGCCGACCUGAGAGGGUGAUCGCCCACACUAGAACUGAGACACGGUCCAUACUCCUGCGGGAGGCAGCAGUAGGGUAUCUUCCGCAGUGGGCGAAAGCCUUACAGAGCAACGCCGCGUGAGUGAUGGAGGUCUUCGGAUCGUAAAGCUCUGUUAUUAGUGAAGAACAUCUUUGUACGUAACUGUGCCCAUCUUGACGGUACCUACUCAGAAAGCCCCGGCUAACUACGUG
RNAcentral lists this ribosomal RNA (497 nucleotides) under uncultured bacterium. RNAcentral's name for it is "partial 16S ribosomal RNA". It matches the Rfam family "Bacterial small subunit ribosomal RNA", at positions 28 to 507 of the family's 1533-position model. The record is from RNAcentral.